Molecule: ribosomal RNA, 253 nt
Filed under: uncultured bacterium
Lineage: Bacteria
Description: partial 16S ribosomal RNA
Rfam family: Bacterial small subunit ribosomal RNA
Source: RNAcentral
UACGUAGGGUGCGAGCGUUAAUCGGAAUUACUGGGCGUAAAGCGUGCGCAGGCGGUUCGCUGUGUCCGAUGUGAAAGCCCCGGGCUUAACCUGGGAAUGGCAUUGGAAACUGGCGGGCUUGAGUGCGGCAGAGGGGGGUGGAAUUCCGCGUGUAGCAGUGAAAUGCGUAGAGAUGCGGGGGAACACCGAUGGCGAAGGCAGCCCCCUGGGUCGACACUGACGCUCAGGCACGAAAGCGUGGGGAGCAAACAGG